This 117-nucleotide non-coding RNA is filed under the name Chlorocebus sabaeus (green monkey). Lineage: Eukaryota; Metazoa; Chordata; Mammalia; Primates; Cercopithecidae. The record is from Rfam by way of RNAcentral.
GCUGGGUGUGGUGGCUCACACCUGUAAUCCCAGCACUUUGGGAGGCUGAGGUGGGUGGAUCACCUGAGGUCAGGAGUUCGAGACCAGCCUGGCCAACAUGGUGAAACCCUGUCUCUA